RNAcentral lists this ribosomal RNA (501 nucleotides) under uncultured bacterium. RNAcentral describes it as "partial 16S ribosomal RNA". It matches the Rfam family "Bacterial small subunit ribosomal RNA", at positions 30 to 523 of the family's 1533-position model. The record is from RNAcentral.
AUUGAACGCUGGCGGCAGGGUUAACACAUGCAACUCGAGCGGGGGAAGGUAGCUUGCUAACGGACCUAGCGGCGGACGGGUGAGUAAUGCUUAGGAAUCUGCCUAGUAGUGGGGGACAACAUCCCGAAAGGGAUGCUAAUACCGCCUACGUCAUACGGGCGACAGCAGGGGAUCUUCGGACCCUGCGCAAAUAGAUGAGCGUAAGUCGGAUUAGCUAGUUGGUGGGGUAAAGGCCUACCAAGGCGAGGAUCUGUAGCGGGUCUGAGAGGAUGAUCCGCCCCCCUGGGACUGAGACACGGCCCAGACUCCUACGGGAGGCAGCAGUGGGGAAUAUUGGACAAUGGGGGGAACCCUGAUCCAGCCAUGCCGCGUGUGGGAAGAAGGCCUUAUGGUUAUAAAGCACUUUAAGCGAGGAGGAGGCUACUUUAGUUAAUACCUAGAGAUAGUGGACGUUACUCGCAGAAUAAGCACCGGCUAACUCUGUGCCAGCCGCCGCCGUAA